UGGAAGACUAGUGAUUUUGUUGUG
This 24-nucleotide non-coding RNA is filed under the name Drosophila erecta. RNAcentral also lists the same sequence under 6 other names. The record is from RNAcentral. Lineage: Eukaryota; Metazoa; Arthropoda; Insecta; Diptera; Drosophilidae.